This 27-nucleotide non-coding RNA is filed under the name Homo sapiens (human). The record is from RNAcentral. Lineage: Eukaryota; Metazoa; Chordata; Mammalia; Primates; Hominidae.
GACAGUGCCAGAGAGGAGCAGCUUCUA